AGAGUUUGAUCCUGGCUCAGGAUGAACGCUAGCUACAGGCUUAACACAUGCAAGUCGAGGGGAAACGACAUCGAAAGCUUGCUUUUGAUGGGCGUCGACCGGCGCACGGGUGAGUAACGCGUAUCCAACCUGCCCACCACUUGGGGAUAACCUUGCGAAAGUAAGACUAAUACCCAAUGACGUCUCUAGAAGACAUCUGAAAGAGAUUAAAGAUUUAUCGGUGAUGGAUGGGGAUGCGUCUGAUUAGCUUGUUGGCGGGGUAACGGCCCACCAAGGCAACGAUCAGUAGGGGUUCUGAGAGGAAGGUCCCCCACAUUGGAACUGAGACACGGUCCAAACUCCUACGGGAGGCAGCAGUGAGGAAUAUUGGUCAAUGGACGAGAGUCUGAACCAGCCAAGUAGCGUGCAGGAUGACGGCCCUAUGGGUUGUAAACUGCUUUUAUAAGGGAAUAAAGUGAGUCUCGUGAGACUUUUUGCAUGUACCUUAUGAAUAAGGACCGGCUAAUUCCGUGCCAGCAGCCGCGGUAAUACGGAAGGUCCGGGCGUUAUCCGGAUUUAUUGGGUUUAAAGGGAGCGUAGGCCGGAGAUUAAGCGUGUUGUGAAAUGUAGACGCUCAACGUCUGCACUGCAGCGCGAACUGGUUUCCUUGAGUACGCACAAAGUGGGCGGAAUUCGUGGUGUAGCGGUGAAAUGCUUAGAUAUCACGAAGAACUCCGAUUGCGAAGGCAGCUCACUGGAGCGCAACUGACGCUGAAGCUCGAAAGUGCGGGUAUCGAACAGGAUUAGAUACCCUGGUAGUCCGCACGGUAAACGAUGGAUGCCCGCUGUUGGUCUGAAUAGGUCUGCGGCCAAGCGAAAGCAUUAAGCAUCCCACCUGGGGAGUACGCCGGCAAC
This 894-nucleotide ribosomal RNA is filed under the name uncultured bacterium. Its description in RNAcentral is "bacterial SSU rRNA". It matches the Rfam family "Bacterial small subunit ribosomal RNA", at positions 8 to 892 of the family's 1533-position model. The record is from RNAcentral.